Priapulus caudatus is the source of this 104-nucleotide long non-coding RNA. RefSeq lists it as uncharacterized. Lineage: Eukaryota; Metazoa; Priapulida; Priapulimorpha; Priapulimorphida; Priapulidae. The record is from RefSeq and is a predicted model, not a curated record. The transcript has 3 exons.
UACCAGCAAUGACUUCGGUACACAUAAGUCCCAGCAGGAUAGACACCAGCAAAUGUACAAAGGAGCAUCAAGGAUGUGUCUAAGGAGUGGCCAGCAGAACUGGU